Molecule: ribosomal RNA, 115 nt
Organism: Rhodovulum sp. ES.010
Lineage: Bacteria; Pseudomonadati; Pseudomonadota; Alphaproteobacteria; Rhodobacterales; Paracoccaceae
Source: Rfam
UUUGGUGGUCAUAGCGCGAGCAAAACACCCGGCUCCAUUCCGAACCCGGUCGUUAAGUGCCGUAGCGCCGAUGGUACUGCGUCUCAAGACGUGGGAGAGUAGGUCGCCGCCAAAC